GAUGAACGCUGGCGGCGUGCCUAAUACAUGCAAGUCGAACGAACAGAUGAGAAGCUUGCUUCUCUGAUGUUAGCGGCGGACGGGUGAGUAACACGUGGGUAACCUACCUAUAAGACUGGGAUAACUCCGGGAAACCGGGGCUAAUACCGGAUAAUAUUUUGAACCGCAUGGUUCAAUAGUGAAAGACGGUUUCGGGUGUCACUUAUAGAUGGACCCGCGCCGUAUUAGCUAGUUGGUAAGGUAACGGCUUACCAAGGGGACGAUACGUAGCCGACCUGAGAGGGUGAUCGGCCACACUGGAACUGAGACACGGUCCAGACUCCUACGGGAGGCAGCAGUAGGGAAUCUUCCGCAAUGGGCGAAAGCAUGACGGAGCAACGCCGCGUGAGUGAUGAAGGUCUUCGGAUCGUAAAACUCUGUUGUUAGGGAAGAACAAAUUUGUUAGUAACUGAACAAGUCUUGACGGUACCUAACCAGAAAGCCACGGCUAACUACGUGCCAGCCGCCGCGGUAA
Molecule: ribosomal RNA, 514 nt
Filed under: uncultured bacterium
Lineage: Bacteria
Description: partial 16S ribosomal RNA
Rfam family: Bacterial small subunit ribosomal RNA
Source: RNAcentral